This 253-nucleotide ribosomal RNA is filed under the name uncultured bacterium. RNAcentral describes it as "partial 16S ribosomal RNA". It matches the Rfam family "Bacterial small subunit ribosomal RNA", at positions 524 to 776 of the family's 1533-position model. The record is from RNAcentral.
UACGUAGGGGGCAAGCGUUGUCCGGAAUCAUUGGGCGUAAAGCGCGUGUAGGCGGUCCGGUAAGUCCGCUGUGAAAGUCCAGGGCUCAACCCUGGGAUGCCGGUGGAUACUGUCGGGCUAGAGUACGGAAGAGGCGAGUGGAAUUCCCGGUGUAGCGGUGAAAUGCGCAGAUAUCGGGAGGAACACCUAUUGCGAAGGCAGCUCGCUGGGACGUCACUGACGCUGAGACGCGAAAGCGUGGGGAGCGAACAGG